GCGAAUCGAUGGGAGCUUGCUCCCUGAGAUUAGCGGCGGACGGGUGAGUAACACGUGGGCAACCUGCCUAUAAGACUGGGAUAACUUCGGGAAACCGGAGCUAAUACCGGAUACGUUCUUUUCUCGCAUGAGAAAAGAUGGAAAGACGGUUUACGCUGUCACUUAUAGAUGGGCCCGCGGCGCAUUAGCUAGUUGGUGAGGUAAUGGCUCACCAAGGCGACGAUGCGUAACCGACCUGAGAGGGUGAUCGGCCACACUGGGACUGAGACACGGCCCACACUCCUACGGGAGGCAGCAGUAGGGAAUCUUCCGCAAUGGACGAAAGUCUGACGGACCAACGCCGCGUGAACAAAGAAGGCCUUCGGGUCGUAAAGUUCUGUUGUUAGGGAAGAACAAGUACCAAAGUAACUGCUGGUACCUUGACGGUACCUAACCAGAAAGCCACGGCUAACUACGUGCCAGCAGCCGCGGUAAUACGUAGGUGGCAAGCGUUGUCCGGAAUUAUUGGGCGUAAAGCGCGCGCAGGUGGUUCCUUAAGUCUGAUGUGAAAGCCCACGGCUCAACCGUGGAGGGUCAUUGGAAACUGGGGAACUUGAGUGCAAAAGAGGAAAGUGGAAUUCCAAGUGUAGCGGUGAAAUGCGUAUAGAUUUGGAGGAACACCAGUGGCGAAAGCGACUUUCUGGUCUGUAACUGACACUGAGGCGCGAAAGCGUGGGGAGCAAACAGGAUUAGAUACCCUGGUAGUCCACGCCGUAAACGAUGAGUGCUAAGUGUUAGAGGGUUUCCGCCCUUUAGUGCUGCAGCUAACGCAUUAAGCACUCCGCCUGGGGAGUACGGCCGCAAGGCUGAAACUCAAAGG
This 859-nucleotide ribosomal RNA is filed under the name Peribacillus huizhouensis. RNAcentral's name for it is "bacterial SSU rRNA". It matches the Rfam family "Bacterial small subunit ribosomal RNA", at positions 66 to 907 of the family's 1533-position model. The record is from RNAcentral. Lineage: Bacteria; Bacillati; Bacillota; Bacilli; Caryophanales; Bacillaceae.